RNAcentral lists this long non-coding RNA (339 nucleotides) under Gossypium raimondii (Peruvian cotton). RNAcentral's name for it is "long non-coding RNA (GRAI_LNC009936)". Lineage: Eukaryota; Viridiplantae; Streptophyta; Magnoliopsida; Malvales; Malvaceae. The record is from RNAcentral.
AAAAGGCUCUCUGAAGGAAAUAAGAUUCUUCGAAAGGGAUGACAAAGACUUGUUUAAUCCUAUGAGUUCAGAUCAAAAUCAAAAUCAAAAAUAAAAAAUAAGAAAAAAUCAAAAUCAAAAUCGAAAACAAAAAAUAAGAAAAAGAAAAAUCAAUCAAAGUGAAAAUUAAAAUAUGAAAAGGAGAAAAAGAAAAGAAAAGGAGAGCCCAAGGCGAAAACCCGCAAAGGGCGCUUUGUGACCAAAGGUGGUUUUGACUUGAAAACCCAAAAAAGGGGCGACUCAAAAUUUUGAGCAAAAUGGGGCCUGAACUUCAUCAUUGUCGAAGGCUUCUAAGGGGCA